GCAUCGUUCAUGUUUUUGAGUAGCCUACAGGACGCGCUAACAACAUGGAGCUUUUUGGACAUAAAUUAUGAGCUUUUUCAAACAAAACUACAUUUGUUAUGGACCUGGGAUUCCUGGAAGUGCCUUCUGAUGAAGAUAAUCAAAGGGUCUUGCAGCACCGGUCUAGGUCUGCACCCUGGCUGUCUGCCUGUUCUCCAGAGCUGGCCUGCCUACAUCACCUACGUGUCUGACAUAGUCCGAGACCUGCAGGAGAGUGAGAAGAGGAGGGGAGAGAACUCUACCUGUGUCACUCAGACCGCAUGGGCGUCACCCCACCGCCAACAAGUCACAGGAGUGGCAGAUCAAGGCACCCUGACAACCCAUAGGUUGUUUCCAUGGCAACUAGACCAACAGGUCAUCUCCAGUCUCAGUGGAUGAAUAACUCAUCCUCUCCAGCGUCCUGCACAAAGUUUGACAUAUACAGCAACACACAAUCCCUUUCUUCUCCUCCUUCCAGUCUGCUGUCCAUCCCUCUCUCUCUUAGUUCCUGGUCCCCUCCCCUGACCUCUCCUUCUUCUGCCCCUCCGCCUCCUCUUUCUGAUAGUUCAGCCCCUUAGCGCCCUUCUUCUCCUCCAGCCUCCCUUCUUCC
This 628-nucleotide long non-coding RNA is filed under the name Salmo salar (Atlantic salmon). RNAcentral describes it as "lncRNA (ENSSSAG00000118724.1)". Lineage: Eukaryota; Metazoa; Chordata; Actinopteri; Salmoniformes; Salmonidae. The record is from RNAcentral.